CUGCAACUCGCCUGCAUGAAGUCGGAAUUGCUAGUAAUCGUAGGUCAGCAUACUACGGUGAAUACGUUCCCGGGCCUUGUACACACCGCCCGUCAAACCAUGAGAGUUGGCAACACCGAAGUCGGUAGUCUAACCGCAAGGAGGACGCCGCCGAAGGUGGGUUGAUGAUUAGGGUUAAGUCGUAACAAGGUAUC
Molecule: ribosomal RNA, 194 nt
Filed under: uncultured bacterium
Lineage: Bacteria
Description: partial 16S ribosomal RNA
Rfam family: Bacterial small subunit ribosomal RNA
Source: RNAcentral